ACUCUUUCCUCUUCUGCCCCAUGGAUCCACAUCCCCCUCAAAGUGGAGAGAAGAAGGAAAGACCACUGUUGCUCCCUACUGAUCCUUGAGUUCUUCUUUGAUAUGAUCUCCCUAGAGCUUCUGGUGCACAAAUCUUUCAUUGUAGCCUAAUCACUAAUAUAUUUUCCUGAACCUCAAGGAGUGAAACAAAAACCUUGUUGAAAGUCGAGGCUCCUUCCCCUGUUCAUCGCUACUCGAGCACACAGUCUGUGCACUGGCUGCGCACUGGGCAGUGCUGACAGCAGCAUCGUCUCAUGCAUUUUUCCUGCUGAGGACAUUGCCCCUGGAGGAUGGUGCCCACCCUUACAAAGAAUUGGCUUGGGACUGACAGGUAAGCAUGUCCUCAGCAAGCCUUUCCAAAUCUCUACCUGGCCAGAAGCUUGUAGUUGGUGUGAUAUAUGAAAAAAGCAGAAUUCCAGUUAUGGGCCCACUCUCACAUUUCUUUCUCUGUAAGAGUGGGUCCCCCAGUCUGAUGGCUGUUAUGUGGGAUCCCAUGUUGAUGGAUCAAACACUCCAUAAGCUCUUGGAUAGCAGUGCUGGC
Long non-coding RNA from Manis pentadactyla (Chinese pangolin), 580 nucleotides. RefSeq lists it as uncharacterized. The transcript is spliced from 3 exons. The record is from RefSeq and is a predicted model, not a curated record. NCBI's taxonomy places the organism in Eukaryota, Metazoa, Chordata, Mammalia, Pholidota, Manidae.